RNAcentral lists this ribosomal RNA (450 nucleotides) under uncultured bacterium. Its description in RNAcentral is "partial 16S ribosomal RNA". It matches the Rfam family "Bacterial small subunit ribosomal RNA", at positions 338 to 795 of the family's 1533-position model. The record is from RNAcentral.
CCUACGGGCGGCAGCAGUGGGGAAUUUUGCGCAAUGGGCGAAAGCCUGACGCAGCAACGCCGCGUGAGUGAUGAAGGCUUUCGGGUCGUAAAGCUCUGUCAGGGGGAAAGAAGUGUAGUAUGGUUAAUACCCAUAUUGCUUGACGGUACCCCCAAAGGAAGCACCGGCUAACUCCGUGCCAGCAGCCGCGGUAAUACGGGGGGUGCGAGCGUGGUUCGGAAUCAUUGGGCGUAAUUGUCAAGUCGGAGGUGAAAGCCCCGGGCUCAACCUGGGAAGUGCAUUGGAUACUGGCAGACUUGAAUACGGGAGAGGGUAGUGGAAUUCCUGGUGUAGGAGUGAAAUCCGUAGAUAUCAGGAGGAACACCGGUGGCGAAGGCGGCUGCCUGGACCGAUAUUGACGCUGAGACGCGAAAGCGUGGGUAGCAAACAGGAUUAGAUACCCCUGUAGUC